Camellia sinensis is the source of this 2172-nucleotide long non-coding RNA. RefSeq lists it as uncharacterized. NCBI's taxonomy places the organism in Eukaryota, Viridiplantae, Streptophyta, Magnoliopsida, Ericales, Theaceae. The record is from RefSeq and is a predicted model, not a curated record.
UCUCUCUCUCUCUCUCUGCAUUUCUAAUUUCUUCCAUCAACUUCCUAUUCUUGACUUCACUGAUCUCGUCUCUAUAUAUAUAUAAUUACAUAAUGAGAUACCUAUUUUCAUCGACCAAUCCAAGUGAUUGUAUAUUAACUUAUAUAUAUAUAUAUAUAUACUUUCAUUAGUUAAUUAAUCUUGUUUAUGUUUCAUUAGUAAAGAUAAAUUCUUGAUCAUAAUUGGUUUAAUUAGUCUCAAUUUAAUUUAAUUUCUCCAAAAUAAGUCUUAACUUAAUCAUUCUUAAUUUUAUUAAUCUAAAUCAAAUUUUUAAUUAAACCCUUAUAAGGCUCUAUAUAUUAAACUGAUUUAAAAUAACAUCCCCUAUUAGAUGAAUCACUACCUGAAUUCUAAUUAAUUAAUCAUGUCUAAAUAUUAUUGGGUUUGAUUCGUAUAUGAUUUUAUAAUAGAGUUAUUUUGGAAUUAGAAAUUGAAAGCCUAAAUGGCUUAAGAAUGUGAAAUUGAUGAGUUUAAUCAGUUUAAUUUCGAGUAUUAGACCAUAUGGGAGUUUAAUUAAAUAUUCGAUUCACUUUAGUAAAAUUAAGAUUUGGUUAAUUGGGUCCAAGUUUGAGUUAAUUAAAUUAUGAGGAUUGGGAAUUGUGGUUAUUCUGAAUUAAAUUUACUUAAGAGGUACCCAAUUUGAAUAUGUAAUUUAUUGACGGAAAUUUUGAGUCUGAUCAGGCUUAAAUGAUUUGGGAAACUAAAAUUGAUAAUGGAAAUAAGUUUAAUUUAAUAUUUGGAGCCUUUUGGGAGUUUGAUUAAAAAUCCGAUUCAGAUUGAUAAAUUUAAUUAUGAUUGAUUGGGCCUUAAUUGAAGUUGAGGAAUUUGUGAUUAGUUACGAUUAAUUCUAAAUAAAUGGAGUUAUACAUGAUUAAUUAAUUAGAAUUCAUGUAGUGAUUCGUCUAAUAGGGGAUUUUAUUUUAAAUCAGUUUAAUAUGUACAGCCUUAUAAGGGUUUAAUUAAAAAUUUAAUUCAGAUUAAUAAAAUUAAGAAUGAUUAAAUUAAGACUUAUUUUGGAGAAAUUAGAUUAAAUUAAGACUAAUUAAAGCAGUUAUGGUCAAGGAUUUAUCUUUCUUAAUGAAACAUAAACAAGAUUAAUUAACUAAUGAAAGUAUAUAUAUAUAUAUAUAUAAGUUAAUAUACAAUCACUUGGAUUGGUCGAUGAAAAUAGGUAUCUCAUUAUGUAAUUAUAUAUAUAUAGAGACGAGAUCAGUGAAGUCAAGAAUAGGAAGUUGAUGGAAGAAAUAAGAAAUGCAGAGAGAGAGAGAGAGAGAGAGAGAGAGAGAGAGAGAGAGAGAGAGAGAGGGGGGGGAGAAAAACAGAGAGAGAGAGGCGGAGAGAGAGAGAGAGAGAAUUCAAAUAUAUGUACUGGAAAUGAUGAAGAAAGGCUAAGGAAAAGCUUGGAAAAGUACAACGUUGAAGAUGAGUUCAAGAUUUUGUCAAGAAUUCGUCAAGUUGAAAAUUUUAGGGAUCAGAAGUCAAAGUUGAUUAACUGCUUGAGCGGUCUUUCUUGCACUCAAGCGAAGAAGUGGUUCAUCCAAUAUCUCUGCCUGCAUUUAAAACUUCUGGAAAACAUGUUUUACCGCUCGAGCAAUAGAUGUUGUAAGUGGUUAAUCUAUAUGUGAGUAUCGCCUUUAGUCACACUGCUCAAGCGGUAAAGUGAGCGCUCGAGCGGUCUUUACGACUCUGUUUAGUAUAAAGUGUGUUGUUUGUUAUUUUUAGGAUUUAACCCGUCUAGAUUCUUAGAGAUGAUGAAAAAACGAAGUAUUCAAUAUUGGAGGGUGUUUAUAUAUAAUUUUCCUUGAUGUAUAGGAGGUGAUCGAAUAAUCAAUAAACUACAUAUUGAUGAACAUCAAGGCUUGGUUUUGUUCUCUUAUUCACAAAAAGAAAGAGGUGUUCAUCGGUGAAUUUCGAGGAACUUGGAUUGAAGCUUUGAUGAAUUCCAAAAUUGCUCAUCAUCAAGGAUUCAACGGCGGCAUUGUGGAUUCAACAUUGGGAAACACAAUUCUGAGAUGAAGACGAUAGUAGAAAAGGCACAUCAGGUUCGGUUCAAUUCUGGUGUAGAUUCCUAAGUAAUUGAGAAUUCUCAUGUAUAAUUAUUUUUGUCUUCUUAAUGGAUUAUUUUGUUGUCUU